AACGAACGCUGGCGGCAUGCCUAACACACGCAAGUCGAACGAGAUCCUUCGGGGUCUAGUGGCGCACGGGUGCGUAACGCGUGGGAAUCUGCCCUUAGGUUCGGAAUAACAGUUAGAAAUGACUGCUAAUACCGGAUGAUGACGUUAAGUCCAAAGUUCUAUCGCCUGAGGAUGAGCCCGCGUAGGAUUAGCUGGUUGGUGUGGUAAAGGCGCACCAAGGCGACGAUCCUUAGCUGGUCUGAGAGGAUGAUCAGCCACACUGGGACUGAGACACGGCCCAGACUCCUACGGGAGGCAGCAGAGGGGAAUAUUGGACAAUGGGCGCAAGCCUGAUCCAGCAAUGCCGCGUGAGUGAUGAAGGCCUUAGGGUUGUAAAGCUCUUUUACCCGGGAUGAUAAUGACAGUACCGGGAGAAUAAGCCCCGGCUAACUCCGUG
RNAcentral lists this ribosomal RNA (436 nucleotides) under uncultured bacterium. Its description in RNAcentral is "partial 16S ribosomal RNA". It matches the Rfam family "Bacterial small subunit ribosomal RNA", at positions 29 to 507 of the family's 1533-position model. The record is from RNAcentral.